UAGGGUUCGAUUAUGGCUCAGAUUGAACGCUGGCGGUAGGCUUAACACAUGCAAGUCGUGCGAGAAGUAUCUUCGGAUAUGAGUAGAGCGGCGGACGGGUGAGUAACGCGUAGGAAUCUACCUAGUAGAAGGGGAUAGCCCGGGGAAACUCGGAUUAAUACCGUAUACCUCCUUCGGGAGAAAGAAGGCCUCUCUUGAAGCUUUCGCUACUAGAUGAGCCUGCGUAAGAUUAGCUUGUUGGUGAGGUAAUGGCUCACCAAGGCGACGAUCUUUAGCUGGUCUGAGAGGACGAUCAGCCACAUUGGGACUGAAACACGGCCCAAACUCCUACGGGAGGCAGCAGUGGGGAAUAUUGGACAAUGGGCGCAAGCCUGAUCCAGCCAUACCGCGUGUGUGAAGAAGGCCUUCGGGUUGUAAAGCACUUCUCAAGCAGGGAGAAAAAGUUAUAAGUUAAUACCUUAUGACUCUGAUGUUACCUGCAAAUAGCACCGGCUAAUUCCGUGCCAGCCGCCGCGGUAAUUCA
Molecule: ribosomal RNA, 523 nt
Filed under: uncultured SAR86 cluster bacterium
Lineage: Bacteria; Pseudomonadati; Pseudomonadota; Gammaproteobacteria
Description: bacterial SSU rRNA
Rfam family: Bacterial small subunit ribosomal RNA
Source: RNAcentral